Molecule: ribosomal RNA, 486 nt
Filed under: uncultured bacterium
Lineage: Bacteria
Description: partial 16S ribosomal RNA
Rfam family: Bacterial small subunit ribosomal RNA
Source: RNAcentral
GAUGAACGCUGGCGGCGUGCUUAACACAUGCAAGUCGAACGGAAAGGCCCAAGCUUGCUUGGGUACUCGAGUGGCGAACGGGUGAGUAACACGUGGGUGAUCUGCCCUGCACUUCGGGAUAAGCCUGGGAAACUGGGUCUAAUACCGGAUAGGACGAUGGUUUGGAUGCCAUUGUGGAAAGUUUUUUCGGUGUGGGAUGAGCUCGCGGCCUAUCAGCUUGUUGGUGGGGUAAUGGCCUACCAAGGCGUCGCCGGGUAGCCGGCCUGAGAGGGUGUACGGCCCUACGGGAACUGGGGCACGCUCCAGAAUCGUACGGGAGGCCGCAGGAGGGCAUGUGCCGCGAUGGGCGAAAGGCUGACGGAGCGAUGCCGCGUGAGUGAUGAAGGUCUUGGGAGCGUAAAACUCGGUUAUGAGGGAAGAACAAAUGUGUAAGGAAAAAUGCACGUCUUGACGGUACCUAAUCAGAAAGCCACGGCUAGCUACGUG